CCAGCUUGAUUCUAACUGAAAACUUAGCUAUUUUGAACCAAUCUACAUGUAAGCUUUAGCUACCCCGCAAAUGCUAAUUCCUAAAAGAUGCAUUAUUUACAUCAAAUUUCUUUGAACGUAAAAGCGCCACAGUAAGUAAUCCUGACAUUCUGCAAACCCAGGAAUUGGGUAUCAAACAAAGAGUUGGCAAAAUUCGUGCCAGCUGCCGCGGUUAGACGAUAAACUCAAGCUAACUAACACGCGACUAGAUACAUGAUGUAUUAAACAGCUUCUAAGGUCUAAUUCUACAGCCAAAGAGCCCCAAUCAUCAAAUUUUAUGAAAGCCUAAACAAAAACACGGAUUAGAUACCCGUCUAUUUAUGCAAUAAAUGCUAAGUCGAAGAAUACGAACUACAGUUUAAAACUCAAAGAUUUUGGCGGUGUCUUAUCAAACCAGGGGAACCUGUCUCAUAACUCGAUAAUCCACGAAUCCCUUACCUCUUCUAGAUCUAUCAGUUUGUGUACUGCCGUCGUAAGCACACCUCUAAAAGUAACUUAGUAUGCAAUUAUGAUUAAAACCCAUUUACGUCAGGUCAAAGUGCAGCUUAUGAAAAGGUGAUGAUGGGUUACACCCUAAACAAAGAUACAGAACAUAUUUUAAACAAUACUUAAAGGUGGACUUGGAUGUAAUUCUGAUCUACAAUUACAAUGAAAGUGAAUCUAAGACAUGCACACAUCGCCCGUCACUCUUGCCUAAAGGCGAGAUAAGUCGUAACAAAGUAGGUGUAACGGAAGUUGCACCUGU
Molecule: non-coding RNA, 784 nt
Filed under: Eisenia nordenskioldi pallida
Lineage: Eukaryota; Metazoa; Annelida; Clitellata; Crassiclitellata; Lumbricidae
Source: RNAcentral